GGGUUGUGAUAAUAAUAGGAGUUUCAGGAAAGGAAAAACAUACUGCAGCCUGGAAAGGAGAAGAGUCAAGAUGACUGUCACUAUAACUGGGCUCCGUAUCACUAUUGGAGGGUUGAUUAAAAUUGCAAUAUCAUCUGUGAUUAUAUCAAACCCUGCUUUGAUAAUAAUAGGGGUGACAACAGUGGCAGUUACAGGCGCCAUAAUCCUCAUGAAGAAUAAACAAAAACACAACUAGUAGGAAGCUCUGCUCUGACAUUCAGCCAUGUCAUCUACUUUGAACAAAGUCAAAGAAAAACAUAAAGAAGCUAAUCGAAUGGAUGAAAGUGAUCAUGCUGGGGUGGAUUCAGCUUCAACUGGCCUCAGUGUGUGAAGAGGAAACAGCUGACAUGAAGAAACUACAACCAGACAAGUUCAGAAGAUGUUUCUUUGCUAAACACUACAUUUGCUGUGUGUGAUCUAGUUAUCUAAACAAAGAAAAUAUUACAACUGUGUUCUAUCAAUAUAUCUGCUGAAAGUACAAGUAUUCCUUAUUUUCUUUACAGAAACGGUUUUGACUAAAUAUUCUCACAGAAAAUGCAAAUCUGCCAUCUCCAAAUGAUGCACCAAACAUAAUUUCUCAGAAACAAAGUGGACGUAGUUAAAACUGGUAGACACACCAUAAACAUAGUGUGUUGUUAAAUUAUCCUCUGUUUUUGUGUUGUAAUGAUAUUGUUCAAAGAAAACACUGAAAUUGGAAUACAGAGUUAAAAAACAGUUCUUGAAGAGGCAUCUCUCUGACUUUGCAACUCUACACCAAAUUGGAUUUCAAUUUGGCAGAUUUUUGUUUGUUUGUUUGUUUGUUUUUGUUAUAAAUGUGAGACUGCAUUUCUGAAAAUAGAUAAACGGUUAAGCAAAAAGAUUUUCUAUAUCUUCAAGAAAACAAGGACCUUGUUCUGAGUUAGAGAAGGUUCUUUGCCAACGCUGGUCUGGGCAUGUCUCAUAAACUUCUUAUGUUUUUAAAAAAAAGUCUUGACUCAGAUUGAAACUGAAAGCUGCAAAGCCUUAUUUGGGGAAGCAGUUUUGUACAGAAAAGCUAAUGCUGUGUUUAUUUGAUGCAACAUAUUUGGAGGGAGGUCUGAAUUUUCUGUGUUCUCACAGAAAAGGUGGAGAGGAAGAUUUUGGCUUCAUUUUUGUAACUUUGUAUUUGCCAUCAAAUUAAACAACACUGUACGCUGAACAAACCAAGUUUAUUUCCUGUUUUUGUCUACUUCUCUGCACACCGCCUGCAAUCAGAUUCACACCUAAAAGGGUUGUGAUAAUAAUAGAAGUUUCCGGAAAGGAAAAACAUACUGCAGCCUGGAAAGGAGAAGAGUGAAAAUGCCUGUCAUUCUAGAGAAGCUCCGUGGCUCUUUUGCUUUUGGAGCACUGAGGGCUGCGAUUAAAACAACUGUGGUGAUAACAGACAGUGCUUUGUUCAUAAUAGCAGGGGUGGUAACAGUGGCAUUUGUAACCUGCAAAAUCUUGGCGAGGGUGAAAUGGUAGGAAGCUCUGCUCUGACAUUCAGCCAUGUCAUCUGCUUUGAACAAAAUAAAAAAAAAAAAAAACAAACAUAAAGAAGCUAAUCGAAUGGAUGGACGUGAUCAUGCUGGGGUGGAUUCAGCUUCAACUGGCCUCAGUGUGUGAAGAGGAAACAGCUGACAUGAAGAAACUACAACCAGACAAGUUCAGAAGAUGUUUCUUUGCUAAACACUACAAUUGCUGUGUGUGAUCUAGUUAUCUAAACAAAGAAAA
Long non-coding RNA from Amphiprion ocellaris (clown anemonefish), 1770 nucleotides. RefSeq lists it as uncharacterized. NCBI's taxonomy places the organism in Eukaryota, Metazoa, Chordata, Actinopteri, Pomacentridae. The transcript has 6 exons. The record is from RefSeq and is a predicted model, not a curated record.